AUGUUCUCUGUCGAGACAUUGUUUCAGUAUAUGCAUACUAUGUAUCUUUAUACCAUAAUUUCUGGCAAAUGGUUAUUUUAUUUAGCAAAUGUAACAGAUUAUGAUGUCUAUGCGAGCCUCCUUUUUGUGCUAUCACGUCAUACCAGUGUUCUACUACUAACAAUGAUUAUAAGAAAUAUCAAUAUCUGUACUUCAUGCUUCAUCCCUGAACAUAUAUUCUCUCAAGAAUGUUUUGUUAUCCAUUUUUUGCGGGCAAGAAUGUUUUGUUUUCCUGAAUGUCUAUUUCAAGCAGUGUCUAAUUAUUUUUGUCUUUAG
Molecule: ribosomal RNA, 315 nt
Filed under: Triticum aestivum (bread wheat)
Lineage: Eukaryota; Viridiplantae; Streptophyta; Magnoliopsida; Poales; Poaceae
Description: partial small subunit ribosomal RNA
Source: RNAcentral